ACAUAUGCGUUACGACAUAUAAAUACACUUAUAUAUAUCAAAACGAUUAAAAUUUAAAUAAAGACAAAUAGGUUGCGCGUAGAGGACCUUACAAAGAGGUUUUAUUUUUAAUAUUUGCUCCCAUCAGAAAACCGGAAACACGUGAAAAUGGGUGACAUAAAGGAGAGUGUUACAGACCCGGUUGGGCGCCGAAUCUUGGCUCAGUUCAAGAGUGAGACUGGUGAAAUUACUGGCAGCGCAUUCGAUUUACCAGUUGAUAUAACAGUUGAUAAGCUACAGCUUGUCUGCAAUGCUAUUUUACAAAAGG
This is a long non-coding RNA of Ruditapes philippinarum (Manila clam), 307 nucleotides long. RefSeq lists it as uncharacterized. The transcript has 2 exons. Lineage: Eukaryota; Metazoa; Mollusca; Bivalvia; Venerida; Veneridae. The record is from RefSeq and is a predicted model, not a curated record.